UUCCCAACUCAGGGACGACCAGAGCUUCCAGAUACUUAUCCUGGCAUGUCACCCGGGCCCGACCUUGCCCAGGUACAGGACCCGGUAUAUCCAAAAACCAUGUCCCACGCCCUAACAAUCCACGACCUCGACUCGAUCUCCCACAAGCACCUCGCCCUCGAAACCCUCGCCCAAAUCACGCGCAUCGAACGCAAAACUUUCCCCGCCUCCGAGGCCUUCGAUUUCUCCGACCCGUCGCUCUGGCGCCGCAGACCUAACACGUACGUUCUGUAUGCGACGCUCGCAGGUGAUGCAGAUAUAGCUGCGUCUGCGUCUACGUCUACGGCUACAGCUGUUUCCACCAUCGCAAAGGGACCCAAGAGGAUAUCAUCAACCGCCACAGCCCCAUCCCCAGCCGCAGCCACGGUCAUAGCCUACGCCCUCUACGUCCGCCAAAGGGGCACCGCGCUCCUGCACAAGCUGUGCGUCGCAGAGCCCUUCCGCGGUCAGGGCGUUGGCAGACAGUUGCUGACGCAUGUGAUUGGGCAGCAGCGGAGCCAGCGGAGCGGAAGGGGCUGUCUGGCUGUGCAACUGUGGGU
This 578-nucleotide small RNA is filed under the name Histoplasma capsulatum. RNAcentral describes it as "hypothetical RNA". The record is from RNAcentral. RNAcentral also lists the same sequence under 1 other name. Lineage: Eukaryota; Fungi; Ascomycota; Eurotiomycetes; Onygenales; Ajellomycetaceae.